UUUUAUUACAAAACGUAAAAAUAAUCUAUCACUAUCAUAUGUGGGAAAACCCAAUUAAUAUACAGAGGUCAUCCGGGUUCACAGACUCGCAGUUCUCUUAUGUUCGUAAUACAAUAUUUUUAUCGUAUUUAUCUUUAUAUACGAUUCAUGGACAUUGUAGUGACCAGGCGCUUCUGACUAAAAAAGUUAUCACAAUUUUUAAUAUUAUGCAAGAAGUGUGUUAUCCUAGAAUCGUGCUUCUUAAUAUUUGAGAUCUUGUGUUGUAAACAAUUGAUAAUUUCGAUCAUUCCACAAGACAAUGAUUUAUGUAUUUAUACACUUGAAGGGUAAAUUUUUUAUAAACACAUCGCAUCAAUAAUUGUCCUAGUAUAACACACUUAUAAUUUAUUCUACAUCUAAAGGCAGGAUGAUGUUGAUUAGAUUACUAAAAUCUAACAUUAAACAAGAUGAAAAAAAAAAAAAUUGGCCCUGGUUCUAGGA
Long non-coding RNA from Helicoverpa armigera (cotton bollworm), 480 nucleotides. RefSeq lists it as uncharacterized. The record is from RefSeq and is a predicted model, not a curated record. NCBI's taxonomy places the organism in Eukaryota, Metazoa, Arthropoda, Insecta, Lepidoptera, Noctuidae. The transcript is spliced from 2 exons.